GGGUUUUUGCUAGUUAAUUAGAGAUCACCCCAUGGAUCGCCAGAGUUGAUUUGGCUGAUCUGGCUGGCUAGGUGGGUGUCCCCUUUCUCCUUCACUGCUCCAUGUGCGUCCCUCCCGAAGCUGCAUGCUCGGUCGAAGAGGACGACCAUCCCCGAUAAAGGAGGACUGGUCUUCGGUCAAGGGUAUACGAGUAGCUGCGCUCCCCUGCUCGAACCUCCAAACAAGCUCUCAAGGAGUCUCUCCAAUUGUCUGCCAGAGCUGACUUCAAACUAUGAUCCUCAGAUCUCAGUCUCCUGAGUCUCUGGGAUUAAAG
Dipodomys ordii (Ord's kangaroo rat) is the source of this 313-nucleotide unclassified non-coding RNA. Its record names the gene 7SK. It matches the Rfam family "7SK RNA". From Rfam's summary of the family: 7SK was discovered as an abundant small nuclear RNA in the mid-70s but a possible function has only recently been suggested. Two independent studies have found that 7SK RNA binds the CDK9/cyclin T complex (known as elongation factor P-TEFb). P-TEFb activates transcription by phosphorylating the C-terminal domain of RNA polymerase II. NCBI's taxonomy places the organism in Eukaryota, Metazoa, Chordata, Mammalia, Rodentia, Heteromyidae. The record is from Ensembl.